RNAcentral lists this ribosomal RNA (253 nucleotides) under uncultured bacterium. Its description in RNAcentral is "partial 16S ribosomal RNA". It matches the Rfam family "Bacterial small subunit ribosomal RNA", at positions 524 to 776 of the family's 1533-position model. The record is from RNAcentral.
UACGUAGGGUGCUAGCGUUGUCCGGAUUUAUUGGGCGUAAAGAGCUCGUAGGUGGCGGGUCACGUCGGGUGUGAAAGCCCGGGGCUUAACUCCGGGUCUGCAUUCGAUACGGGUCUGCUGGGGUCCGGCAGGGGAGACUGGAAUUCCUGGUGUAGCGGUGAAAUGCGCAGAUAUCAGGAGGAACACCGGUGGCGAAGGCGGGUCUCUGGGCCGGUACCGACGCUGAAGAGCGAAAGCGUGGGGAGCGAACAGG